AAAGGGAAAUGAUGGAAAAGGUCACAUUAAAGUGUGAAAUGAUAAAAAUGUCACCUAGUUUUCCACUUGAUAAAAAUGUCCAUUAUGAAUUGUUAAUAAUACUAAUUUAGUCCUUAUUAGUAAUGAAUUAAUGUUAAAAAAGGUCAGUUUUAAAUUUUUCUGAUUCCCAUUAUGCCCUUAGAGUAAAAAAAAUCCUAGAGCUCAAAUCUUCUCUCUCUUGUUCUUGGCUAUUUCGGAGAGAGACCAAGGGAAGGAGCAAAAAAUUUCCAAUUCCCGUUGGAUUCCGGAAUCGGAGGGCGGCGGCGGCUCGAUUCCAGUGAAUGUGCUUUGUUGCAACCGUGAUAGUCGGCGCAUGUGCUUCUGAUUCGUCGCCGAUUGCUGAUCCCGACUUGUGGAGUGAAUUGUAAGGUUAUCUCAAUGUCUAAGAUCUCACACCAAUCAGUGGCUACGCCUACUAGCUUGGCCUCGGUGUCCACUAUUCCGGCUUGCAAGGUCAAUCAGUUGGUUCAGGUUGCACAGAAGUGCCAGAGUACAAUUGUUGAAAGUGGAUCUGAUGGGGUUUCUCAGCAGGAUCUACAAGCAAAUAGUAAUUUGUGAGUUUUUGAGGUUCUGCCAGCUGGGCGGUAGCUCGCAAAGAGUUUGGAGUUGCAGUCACUGAAUGACUUGGCUUUUCUAAAAGAUAUGUGAGGUGUUUGCAGAUAUAAGAGGUUGUGAACAACAUGAAAGAUUUGAUCGAAUUCUGCCAGGAAAACAAAGUUGGCCCAAUUGAGGACUUGCAGGUUCAUCCUCGACAUGCGAAUGCAACCAAGCUUCAGAUGCAAAGGAUGCACGAAAUGGAGCAGUUAGCAAGUGUUCAGGGCAUGCCAACUGAUAGGAACACAUUGAAUAAGCUAAUGGUAAUAACAACCAUCACAUGGCCAGGGGAGGAGGUUUGAGUGGCUCUGCACAAGCAGCUUUAGCGCUGACCAAUUACCAAAAUCUGCUGAUGAAGCAGAACUCGAUGAAUUGAAAUGCAAAUUCUUUUUUUUUAUUCUUAAAUGAGGAGCGAUUCUUAAACGAGCUCUCAUCUCAAGAUUAUAUGAGAAUUUCACUUUUUUUUUUUUUUUUUUUAUUCUUCUAGCUUCUUCGAGUUGCUUCGUAACUAGAGACUUGGUCACGCUAAUGACUUCACUGGCCAGUGACUUGAUCAGUGACCUGUGUAUAAUAAUGACAUGGUCAGUGACAUGCAAUGUGAUUUGGCCAGUAACUUGGUCAGUGACGUGUGUAUAACAGUGACAUGCAAUAUGACCUGGCCAGUGACUUGGCAAAUAACAUGUGACUGACAGUGACUUUAACAGUUACGUGAUCAGUGACAUGGUCAUGACUGUGACAUGUAACUGACCAAGUAACUGAUCAUGUAACUGACCAAGUAACUGAUCAUGUAACUGACCAUGUCACUUACAAUGUAUGUAACUGACCAAGUAAUUGAACAUGUAACUGAUCGUUGUCAUUGACA
Rosa rugosa (rugosa rose) is the source of this 1495-nucleotide long non-coding RNA. RefSeq lists it as uncharacterized. Lineage: Eukaryota; Viridiplantae; Streptophyta; Magnoliopsida; Rosales; Rosaceae. The record is from RefSeq and is a predicted model, not a curated record. The transcript has 6 exons.